AAAUUAAUGCUAGUGAAACAAAAAAUUAGUAUCAUGAAACCAAGACCAAUGAAUUAAAUUGCAGUACAGCAGUUCACUCAAAACUUGCUGAAACAGGAAUUUGCAUAUAUACCACUUUGGAAAAAAUCAACAUCUUAUUUUGAAAAUAAACUAGAAGAUACUUAUAAUAACAACAAUGGUCUUUUGCAAGAUUGCAGUGCAGCAGUUCACCCAAGGCUUGCUGAGACAGGAAUUUGCAUU
This 240-nucleotide long non-coding RNA is filed under the name Rhopalosiphum maidis (corn leaf aphid). Its description in RNAcentral is "uncharacterized LOC113559240". Lineage: Eukaryota; Metazoa; Arthropoda; Insecta; Hemiptera; Aphididae. The record is from RNAcentral.